This 1789-nucleotide small RNA is filed under the name Pongo abelii (Sumatran orangutan). Its description in RNAcentral is "retained intron". Lineage: Eukaryota; Metazoa; Chordata; Mammalia; Primates; Hominidae. The record is from RNAcentral.
AGUGCCUACUGCACCCACCUCUGGUGGCCCUAAGCCCAGCACAGCUUCAGCAGUUCCUGAAUUAGCUACAGAUCCUGAGUUAGAGAAGAAGUUGCUACACCACCUCUCUGAUCUGGCCUUAACAUUGCCCACUGAUGCUGUGUCCAUCUGUCUUGCCAUCUCCACGGUAAUGACCUGACAGAGUUAGGAUUUACAACUUAUUUUCAGUUCACGGUCAGUGUCUUAUUGCCCAUACCUCCCCUCCUUCUCUAGCCAGAUGCUCCUGCCACUCAAGAUGGGGUAGAAAGCCUCCUGCAGAAAUUUGCAGCUCAGGAGUUGAUUGAGGUCAAGCGAGGUCUCCUACAAGAUGAUGCACAUCCUACUCUUGUGACCUAUGCUGACCAUUCCAAGCUCUCUGCCAUGAUGGGUGCUGUGGCAGAAAAGAAGGGCCCUGGGGAGGUAGCAGGGACUGUCACAGGGCAGAAGCGGCGUGCAGAACAGGACUUAACUACAGUAGCUGCCUUUGCCAGUUCGUUAGUCUCCGGUCUGAACUCUUCAGCAUCGGAACCAGCAAAGGAGCCAGCCAAGAAAUCAAGGAAACAUGCUGCCUCAGAUGUUGAUCUGGAGAUAGAGAGCCUUCUGAACCAACAGUCCACUAAGGAACAACAGAGCAAGAAGGUCAGUCAGGAGAUCCUAGAGCUAUUAAAUACUACAACAGCCAAGGAACAAUCCAUUGUUGAAAAAUUUCGCUCUCGAGGUCGGGCCCAAGUGCAAGAAUUCUGUGACUAUGGAACCAAGGAGGAGUGCAUGAAAGCCAGUGAUGCUGAUCGACCCUGUCGCAAGCUGCACUUCAGACGAAUUAUCAAUAAACACACUGAUGAGUCUUUAGGUGACUGCUCUUUCCUUAAUACAUGUUUCCACAUGGAUACCUGCAAGUAUGUUCACUAUGAAAUUGAUGCUUGCAUGGAUUCUGAGGCCCCUGGCAGCAAAGACCACACGCCAAGCCAGGAGCUUGCUCUUACACAGAGUGUUGGAGGUGAUUCCAGUGCAGACCGACUCUUCCCACCUCAGUGGAUCUGUUGUGAUAUCCGCUACCUGGACGUCAGUAUCUUGGGCAAGUUUGCAGUUGUGAUGGCUGACCCACCCUGGGAUAUUCACAUGGAACUGCCCUAUGGGACCCUGACAGACGAUGAGAUGCGCAGGCUCAACAUACCUGUACUACAGGAUGAUGGCUUUCUCUUCCUCUGGGUCACAGGCAGGGCCAUGGAGUUGGGGAGAGAAUGUCUAAACCUCUGGGGGUAUGAACGGGUAGAUGAAAUUAUUUGGGUGAAGACAAAUCAACUGCAACGCAUCAUUCGGACAGGCCGUACAGGUCACUGGUUGAACCAUGGGAAGGAACACUGCUUGGUUGGUGUCAAAGGAAAUCCCCAAGGCUUCAACCAGGGUCUGGAUUGUGAUGUGAUCGUAGCUGAGGUUCGUUCCACCAGUCAUAAACCAGAUGAAAUCUAUGGCAUGAUUGAAAGACUGUCUCCUGGCACUCGCAAGAUUGAGUUAUUUGGACGACCGCACAAUGUGCAACCCAACUGGAUCACCCUUGGAAACCAACUGGAUGGGAUCCACCUACUAGACCCAGAUGUGGUUGCACGGUUCAAGCAAAGGUACCCAGAUGGUAUCAUCUCUAAACCUAAGAAUUUAUAGAAGCACUUCCUUACAGAGCUAAGAAUCCAUAGCCAUGGCUCUGUAAGCUAAACCUGAAGAGUGAUAUUUGUACAGUAGCUUUCUUCUUUAUUUAAAUAAACAUUUGUAUUGU